AACUGUGGAUUUAUAAGGCUUUGAGUUUUUUUUGUCGACUCGAAGAAGAGUUUGAAAGAUAAUUUCGAAGGACAAUUUCAUCGAAGGAAUUCGAAGAAAAAAGGGCGAGAUUUUGGAUUUUAAUUCCGCAAGAAUUAUGAAUUACGAAAUACGAUAACAUUUAUCGUACGGAAUAUUGUUCGAGAAAACGUGUUACGGAGUGGAUUAUUUUUCUGGUACGUAAACACGAGUCAAGGAGAAGUAUACGUUACGAAGAAAAGGAAAAAAUCGAUCGAGCGUGAAAAAAGUAUUAAUUUAAAGCAAUCCGAUUAAUAUCGAUUCUUGUAUUUGACCAAACUUUAAAAAUUGCGAUACUACGAUAAUUUCAAAAUUCAUCUGUUAUUUUUCACGAUAUUAUUAGUAUUGAAAUUUCUGAAUAGUAUCAAACUAUCGAGAUGCUCUUAAAAGACGCUCUUGAAAAUCUUGUUGAUAGAAAUAUCUAACUUUCUCUACAAGAAAGGAAAUAUUAAAUAAACACGAAAAAAUUAGAUAUACGGUAUUUGUUAACCAGAAGAAGAAAUGAGACGAAAAAAAAUGAUUGCAAGAAAGCGGAAA
Molecule: long non-coding RNA, 594 nt
Organism: Apis mellifera (honey bee)
Lineage: Eukaryota; Metazoa; Arthropoda; Insecta; Hymenoptera; Apidae
Exons: 2
Source: RefSeq, a predicted model, not a curated record